AGCAGCCGCGGUAAUUCCAGCUCCAAUAGCGUAUAUUAAAGUUGUUGCAGUUAAAAAGCUCGUAGUUGAAUUUCGGGAUCGACGGGUCGGUCGCGCCUCUGGUGUGUACUGGCCCUGUCGGUUUCUCCCUUCUGAAGAACCGCGAUGUCAUUAAUUUGGUGUCGUGGGGAAUCAGGACUGUUACUUUGAAAAAAUUAGAGUGUUUAAAGCAGGCAUUCGCUUGAAUACAUUAGCAUGGAAUAAUGAAAUAGGACGUUUGAUCUUAUUUUGUUGGUUUCUAAGAUCGACGUAAUGAUUAAUAGGGAUAGUUGGGGGCAUUAGUAUUCAAUUGUCAGAGGUGAAAUUCUUGGAUUUAUUGAAGACUAACUACUGCGAAAGCAUUUGCCAAGGAUGUUUUCAUUAAUCAAGAACGAAAGUUAGGGGAUCGAAGACGAUCAGAUACCGUCGUAGUCUUAACCAUAAACUAUGCCGACUAGGGAUCGGAUGAUGUUAAUUUUUAAUGACUCAUUCGGCGCCUUAA
RNAcentral lists this ribosomal RNA (520 nucleotides) under uncultured Glomus. RNAcentral describes it as "SSU rRNA". It matches the Rfam family "Eukaryotic small subunit ribosomal RNA", at positions 569 to 1091 of the family's 1831-position model. Lineage: Eukaryota; Fungi; Glomeromycota; Glomeromycetes; Glomerales; Glomeraceae. The record is from RNAcentral.